This 354-nucleotide transfer-messenger RNA is filed under the name Acidimicrobiales. RNAcentral describes it as "JAJZBW01 sp021798745 Standard tmRNA". It matches the Rfam family "transfer-messenger RNA". Rfam says of the family: Bacterial tmRNA, also known as 10Sa RNA or SsrA, is named for its dual tRNA and mRNA-like properties. Its role is to liberate the mRNA from a stalled ribosome. RNAcentral also lists the same sequence under 1 other name. The record is from RNAcentral. Lineage: Bacteria; Bacillati; Actinomycetota; Acidimicrobiia.
GGGGGUGACAGGCUUCGACUUCGGUCGUCGAGGUGGGAGAAGCGAGCCGUGGUCUCCGGAGCCACGUUAAAGAGCCGGAAACCAACACAAACGCCGAGCCCAAGCUCGCGCUUGCUGCCUAACUAGCAGCAACGUCCGACCGGCCCCAGCCCCGCGGGCCGGAACCCGGGCGUCAUCUUGUGGGGCUUACCCGAUGGGUGUCGCCGACACGUCCGCCGGGGAAACCUUCGUCGGCUGGGGUCCCGCCACGGCGCCGGUGGCGAGGCGGGACCCGAGACCCCACCGCCGGCUGCGCUCGGAGAAGGUCCACUAAGAAGCCGAAGGACGCGGGUUCGAUUCCCGCCACCUCCACGA